RNAcentral lists this ribosomal RNA (247 nucleotides) under uncultured Bdellovibrio sp. RNAcentral's name for it is "partial 16S ribosomal RNA". It matches the Rfam family "Bacterial small subunit ribosomal RNA", at positions 210 to 456 of the family's 1533-position model. The record is from RNAcentral. Lineage: Bacteria; Pseudomonadati; Bdellovibrionota; Bdellovibrionia; Bdellovibrionales; Pseudobdellovibrionaceae.
GUUUUUCGCUCUAAGAUGAGCCCGCGUAAGAUUAGCUAGUUGGUGAGGUAAUGGCUCACCAAGGCGACGAUCUUUAGCUGGUCUGAGAGGAUGAUCAGCCACACUGGAACUGAGACACGGUCCAGACUCCUACGGGAGGCAGCAGUAGGGAAUAUUGCACAAUGGAGGAAACUCUGAUGCAGCGACGCCGCGUGAGCGAUGAAGGCCUUCGGGUUGUAAAGCUCUGUCGCAUGGGAAUAAGACAGUG